Molecule: long non-coding RNA, 411 nt
Filed under: Mytilus galloprovincialis (Mediterranean mussel)
Lineage: Eukaryota; Metazoa; Mollusca; Bivalvia; Mytilida; Mytilidae
Source: RNAcentral
UUGCUGCCCCUGAAUUGGUAAUUUUGAGGAAAUUUUGCUGUUUUUUUGUUAUUAUCUUGAAUAUUAUUAUAGAUAGAGAUAAACUGUAAACAGCAAUAAUGUACAGCAAAGUAAGAACUAAAAAUAAGUCAGUCUGACCAAAAUAGUCAAUUGACCCCCAAAGGAGUUAUUGCCCUUCAUAGUCCAUUUUUAACAAUUUUCUUAAAAUUUGAAGAUUUUCAAUAACAUUUUCCACAGAAAGUACUGUUAUAGAUAGAGAUAAUUGUAAGCAGCAAGAAUGUUUAGUAAAGUAAGAUCUACAAACACAUCACCAUCACCAAAACACAAUUUUGUCAUGAAUCCAUCUGUGUCCAUUGUUUAAUAUUCACAUAGACCAAGGUGAGCGACACAGGCUCUUUAUAGCCUCUAGUU